GAUGAACGCUGGCGGCGUGCCUAAUACAUGCAAGUCGAGCGAACGGACGAGAAGCUUGCUUCUCUGAUGUUAGCGGCGGACGGGUGAGUAACACGUGGAUAACCUACCUAUAAGACUGGGAUAACUUCGGGAAACCGGAGCUAAUACCGGAUAAUAUUUUGAACCGCAUGGUUCAAAAGUGAAAGACGGUCUUGCUGUCACUUAUAGAUGGAUCCGCGCUGCAUUAGCUAGUUGGUAAGGUAACGGCUUACCAAGGCAACGAUGCAUAGCCGACCUGAGAGGGUGAUCGGCCACACUGGAACUGAGACACGGUCCAGACUCCUACGGGAGGCAGCAGUAGGGAAUCUUCCGCAAUGGGCGAAAGCCUGACGGAGCAACGCCGCGUGAGUGAUGAAGGUCUUCGGAUCGUAAAACUCUGUUAUUAGGGAAGAACAUAUGUGUAAGUAACUGUGCACAUCUUGACGGUACCUAAUCAGAAAGCCACGGCUAACUACGUGCCAGCAGCCGCGGUAAUACGUAGGUGGCAAGCGUUAUCCGGAAUUAUUGGGCGGUAAGCGCGCGUAGGCGGUUUUUUAAGUCUGAUGUGAAAGCCCACGGCUCAACCGUGGAGGGUCAUUGGAAACUGGAAAACUUGAGUGCAGAAGAGGAAAGUGGAAUUCCAUGUGUAGCGGUGAAAUGCGCAGAGAUAUGGAGGAACACCAGUGGCGAAGGCGACUUUCUGGUCUGUAACUGACGCUGAUGUGCGAAAGCGUGGGGAUCAAACAGGAUUAGAUACCCUGGUAGUCCACGCCGUAAACGAUGAGUGCUAAGUGUUAGGGGGUUUCCGCCCCUUAGUGCUGCAGCUAACGCAUUAAGCACUCCGCCUGGGGAGUACGACCGCAAGGUUGAAACUCAAAGGAAUUGACGGGGACCCGCACAAGCGGUGGAGCAUGUGGUUUAAUUCGAAGCAACGCGAAGAACCUUACCAAAUCUUGACAUCCUUUGACAACUCUAGAGAUAGAGCCUUCCCCUUCGGGGGACAAAGUGACAGGUGGUGCAUGGUUGUCGUCAGCUCGUGUCGUGAGAUGUUGGGUUAAGUCCCGCAACGAGCGCAACCCUUAAGCUUAGUUGCCAUCAUUAAGUUGGGCACUCUAAGUUGACUGCCGGUGACAAACCGGAGGAAGGUGGGGAUGACGUCAAAUCAUCAUGCCCCUUAUGAUUUGGGCUACACACGUGCUACAAUGGACAAUACAAAGGGCAGCGAAACCGCGAGGUCAAGCAAAUCCCAUAAAGUUGUUCUCAGUUCGGAUUGUAGUCUGCAACUCGACUACAUGAAGCUGGAAUCGCUAGUAAUCGUAGAUCAGCAUGCUACGGUGAAUACGUUCCCGGGUCU
This 1372-nucleotide ribosomal RNA is filed under the name uncultured bacterium. RNAcentral describes it as "bacterial SSU rRNA". It matches the Rfam family "Bacterial small subunit ribosomal RNA", at positions 28 to 1381 of the family's 1533-position model. The record is from RNAcentral.